GCCGGCGCCGCGGUCUCCGGGCCGCGCGCUGGGGCGGGGCUGCGCGCGCAGAAGCAUGUGAUCACCAAACUGAGUAUAGAAUGGGGCGGAAUCAACAAUGAUACGAUUUUACAUUGUGGCAACAACUACGAGCCGUCCAGGUCAGGAACAGUGAGUCACAGAGAGAGAGAGAGGCAGAGACACAGGCAGAGGGAGAAGCAGGCUCCAUGCACCGGGAGCCCGACGUGGGACUCGAUCCGGUGUCUCCAGGAUCGCGCCCUGGGCCAAAGGCAGGCGCCAAACCGCUACGCCACCCAGGGAUCCCCCUUUCAAUGUCUUGCUCCCCAUUUCUCACCUCCAUCCUCCUCCUCUCCUGGGGCACACCCUCCUUCUCUUUGCCUUUUUCUUGCCCUAGGAUGGUUUCAGAUGGGGCCAUCCAUAGAGGUAGGGGCAGAGACCAAGGCAAACCUCAGUGUGAAGGUGGACAUAUCCAAUGGCUAAGGAAUUUCCUUCCUGAACUCUGCAGGCAGGGCAGCUGGUACAGCCCUAGGAUGGAUCAGCCCAGAGGAGAACGUGGGCUGAAAGAAGCUGCUGCCACAUAGGCUAGCUCUUUGUCACACCUCUCUCCAGACAACCAGCAUGUGACUAACCAUCUGCUCCAGUAUGAGGGCAGGGCACAGGACACACCGGCAGAAUGAUUUACUUUUUCGUUCAAUUUUAACACACAGACAAUAAGGUGCUUGAAGAAUACUCAUCUUCAGUGCAUAGCUCAAUAAAGUUGUAUAUUUGUGGAUACCUGUAUGACCACAUUUGAGCUCAAGAUAUAAAAUGUUUCCAGUAACCAGAAGUUUUCCUAUGCUCCUUCCCAAUCAAUAUCCAUUUUCCCUGAAUCCUCUCCACCCCACACACAUCAAGGCAAACAUGAUUUUGGCUUCUUUUAAAGUGAGGUGUUUUAUCUCUGGCUUCUUUGCUCAAAAUAAUGUUUGUCAGAUGCUUAUUAUUUGCUAAUAUUUUGAAAAUAUUGUUUCAUUAGCUUCUUAUUUUACUAAAAACGAGAUCAUCUUGUGCAUGCUGUUUGCCACUGGUUUUUCCAUUUAACAUUAGCAACAGUUUCCCUUGUCUUUAGCAUUCUUGUACUACAGAUUUUUCAAAGUUUGGAUUAUGUUCUCUAUUAUGUAUGUGCUGUAAUUUAUUUGACCAGCCCUCAAUUGUUCAACAUGAGAUAAUUUCCUUUUUAAAAAACUACCAAAAAAAGAAAACUACAGACAAUGAUUCAUUGAAUAUUCUUGCAAUUAAAUCUUUGUGCACAUACUUGAUUAUUCCUCUAGGUUAAACUAUAAGAAGUAGAAUCACCAGGUCAAAGGUUGUAUACACUUUUAAAGCUUUGUUAUCCAGAAAAGUUGUAUUAAUCUUCUUAUGAGAGUGUCUCUGUUUCCUCAAAUCUUGACCAUCACUGGACAUCAUAUUUUGAAUAUUUGCCAAUGUAAUAGGUAAAAUGUAUCUUUUUGAAAAAAAAUUAAAAAAAUUAAAAACA
Canis lupus familiaris (dog) is the source of this 1513-nucleotide long non-coding RNA. RefSeq lists it as uncharacterized. The record is from RefSeq and is a predicted model, not a curated record. The transcript is spliced from 3 exons. NCBI's taxonomy places the organism in Eukaryota, Metazoa, Chordata, Mammalia, Carnivora, Canidae.